UGCAAAAGGCGGCGGCGGGGCGGUGACCCGAGUUGGCUCAGGGCUGCAGGGGCCGCGGAAGGCGCCGGCCUGAGACCUCGGGCUGCUUCUGUUACCCUAGCGGGUUUCCGCGGGGGAUUGCUUCCAGGACCUCCGCGGAUACCAAAAUCUGCGGAUGCUCACUCGAGUCCCUUGUAUGCAGUGAGUUGGACUACAAAUUCCACCUCUGGCCAAACGUGUCUGGGCAAGUUGUCAACGUUUCUGCAUCGCCCCUUCCGUAUCUGGGCAGCGAGGACACCAGCACCAGCUUCACGGGCCUGCUGUGAGGAUGGAGUGACGGUCCACAGAGGAGCCUUGCCCAAGGUUUGGCACCUGUCAUGGCUGAUCGGACCAGCAGUGGCCAUGUGACCUGAGGACAGCCAGACUAUAGGUUGGCUUACCACCUAUCACUUGUGUGGCCUGGAUGGGCUUGGCCAAUCGGAUUCUCUCCUGGAAUUUGAACAAGACUCAGAGGGGAAUUCCCAGUUGGUAGUGGCAGUUGAACUUGAAUGCAAAGUGGAUUCCGGGUUGGAGCAGCCAUUUUGGACCCCUGAGUCAGAGAGGAAGCCAGGUAGUGGAGAGAGGAGGUCACGGCAGCCGUGUAAGGAAGAGUAGAGGUUCCACAGAGAAGUGACUUCCCAAAGUGGAACUUCACAAGAAGGACCAUAAAACCGGUGUGGAAAAGUAAAGGCUAAGAAGAUCACGGCAAUUUUGAAGGAGAAAAAUCAAGAGAGAACGUUUCCUUCUUUGACAUCAAGAUUCACUGUGAAGUUGCUCUGUCGCCACAGAAUCACAGACGGACGUGGAUGCCCAGCCAGGGACCGCAGUUCCAAGCCUCCCUUGCAAUUAAUUAGGUGUGGCCGUGACUGAGUUCUUUUCCAAGGGAAGGUAAACAGCUGUGAUGUGAAUGGGCAAUGCCGUGGCAGCUUCUGGACCAGUUCCUUGGAUUCCCAUCAGGCACAGCCCACACCGGACCUCCAGCAGGCCUUCCCAGAGAUAUGGAAAGUCAGUGAGGUCCCAGAGUCAGCCUCUGAUCCCUGGGCCAGAGGAAGGUCACUCAGUAGGAUCUAAAAGCCAGAUGGCUGACCACCGGCCUGUGGUCAAUGUUGUGGAAAUGGUAAGUUUGAAAAUGCAAAUGCUUUUGGAGCCGGCCUACAACCUAAGAAGAGAAAUAGCCCGUGUAUGGACUUUGGCAAAAGGUGGAUCCAAGCUGGGUCUAAAGUGGGCAGCCCUUUAGGCCAAUAGUUAUCACGUGGGAACCCUGGCUUGCUGUGGCCAAUGUUCUGAAUUUUCCAAAAGCCAGAAACAAGGACUUCGAGUAAUACGAAAAUUUAAAAAAAACACCCAAAUCUUAUAUUUAAAUAUUGAAAACAAAUUUCCAAACAUUUAAAUCACUUUGCUGGUCAAACAACAUACAUCUGCAGGCUGGAGUGUAGCAGUGGACACUGGUUUUCAAUCCCUGACAUGUUGGUGAAAAGUGAACGCUCGGAAUCAAUGUCCAGGCGCCAUCACCUACCAGCUGCAUGACCUUGGCACGUAUUUUAACUUCCGAGGCUCCACUUAUAAGGACAGUACGUAGAGCACGGUGUACUCACAAUGUAAAGAGCCUGGUGCACAGUAUGUAACCAAUAAAUGCUAUAACGGUUGCUGUCAUUGUCAUUGUUAGCUUCUUCUUUAUCAUCACCAUCACUGUGAUAUGGUGAUUUAUAAUACGAUAUAUAUAUAUAUAUAUAUAUAUAUUUGGUUACGUUUCUGUGUUACUGUUUCUGUUCUGUUACUGUGUCCCUGUUUCUGGCCAAAGAGCUCCUAAAACUCUUGGAAUUUCCUAAGCUAUGACAGCAAGAAAGGUGUCUUGAGUUAUGUUAACGAGGUGACUUUUGGGGGUUGAUGAUUAGUUGAGCCAACCUUGCGAGUAGAGGCUUUGAACUUUCAGGCCCAUCCUCAGACUCCAGGGAAGGGAGGGGAGGGGCUGGAGAUUGAGUUCAACCACCAACGGUCAGCGAUUGAAUCAAUCAUGCCUAUGUAAUGAAGUCAUCAUAAAACCCAAAAGGACUGGGUUUGGAGACUUUCUGGGUUGGUGAACACAUGGAGAUUCAGGGAGAGUGGAGCUCUUGGAGAGGAAUGGAAGGUCUGCACCCCUUCUCACAUACUCUGCCCUGUGCCUCUCUUCCCCCUGGCUGUUCCUGAAUUCAAUGCUUCUAUAACUCACUGGUGAUCUAGUAAGGAAAAUGUUUCUCUGAGUUCUGUGAGCCACUCUGGCAAAUUGAUCAAACCCAGGGAGGGGGCUGUUGGAACCUCUGGAUGUAUAUAGUCAGUCACAGUGGUAAGUCAGAAGCCCAGGUGACAACAUGGACUCCAGAUUGGUCUCCAAAGUGGUAUAUAUAUGCACAAUGGAAUACUACUCAGCCAUAAAAAAAAUGAAAGAGUGACAUUUGCAGCAACAUGGCUGGACUUCGGGAGUAUCAUACCAAGUGAAGUCAGUCAGACAGAGAAAGACAAAUAUCAUAUGAUA
Molecule: long non-coding RNA, 2530 nt
Organism: Globicephala melas (long-finned pilot whale)
Lineage: Eukaryota; Metazoa; Chordata; Mammalia; Artiodactyla; Delphinidae
Source: RefSeq, a predicted model, not a curated record